RNAcentral lists this ribosomal RNA (253 nucleotides) under uncultured bacterium. RNAcentral describes it as "partial 16S ribosomal RNA". It matches the Rfam family "Bacterial small subunit ribosomal RNA", at positions 524 to 776 of the family's 1533-position model. The record is from RNAcentral.
GACGAAGGGUGCUAGCGUUGUUCGGAAUUACUGGGCGUAAAGCGCGUGUAGGCGGUUAUCCAAGUCGGGUGUGAAAGCCUUGAGCUCAACUCAAGAAAUGCACUCGGUACUGGGUGACUAGAGGACCGGAGAGGAUAGUGGAAUUCCCAGUGUAGUGGUGAAAUACGUAGAGAUUGGGAAGAACACCAGUGGCGAAGGCGGCUAUCUGGACGGUUUCUGACGCUAAGACGCGAAAGCGUGGGGAGCAAACAGG